CCUACGGGAGGCAGCAGUGGGGAAUAUUGCACAAUGGGCGAAACCCUGAUGCAGCGACGCCGCGUGAGCGAAGAAGUAUUUCGGUAUGUAAAGCUCUAUCAGCAGGGAAGAAAAUGACGGUACCUGUGUAAGAAGCUCCGGCUAAAUACGGGCCAGCAGCCGCGGUAAUACGUAUGGAGCAAGCGUUAUCCGGAUUUACUGGGCGUAAAGGGAGCGUAGGCGGCCGGCCAAGUCUGUUGUGAAAUACCGGGGCUCAAACGCGGGGCUGCAUUGGAAACUGGCAGGCUGGAGUGCCGGAGAGGCAGGCGGAAUUCGUGGUGUAGCGGUGAAAU
This 332-nucleotide ribosomal RNA is filed under the name uncultured bacterium. RNAcentral's name for it is "partial 16S ribosomal RNA". It matches the Rfam family "Bacterial small subunit ribosomal RNA", at positions 338 to 687 of the family's 1533-position model. The record is from RNAcentral.